RNAcentral lists this ribosomal RNA (432 nucleotides) under uncultured Alphaproteobacteria bacterium. Its description in RNAcentral is "bacterial SSU rRNA". It matches the Rfam family "Bacterial small subunit ribosomal RNA", at positions 346 to 795 of the family's 1533-position model. Lineage: Bacteria; Pseudomonadati; Pseudomonadota; Alphaproteobacteria. The record is from RNAcentral.
AGGCUGCAGUGGGGAAUCUUAGACAAUGGGGGAAACCCUGAUCUAGCCAUGCCGCGUGAUCGAUGAAGGCCUUAGGGUUGUAAAGAUCUUUCAGUUGGGAAGAUAAUGACUGUACCAACAGAAGAAGCCCCGGCUAACUCCGUGCCAGCAGCCGCGGUAAUACGGAGGGGGCUAGCGUUAUUCGGAAUUACUGGGCGUAAAGCGCACGUAGGCGGAUCAGAAAGUCAGAGGUGAAAUCCCAGGGCUCAACCUUGGAACUGCCUUUGAAACUCCUGAUCUUGAGUUCGAGAGAGGUGAGUGGAAUUCCGAGUGUAGAGGUGAAAUUCGUAGAUAUUCGGAGGAACACCAGUGGCGAAGGCGGCUCACUGGCUCGAUACUGACGCUGAGGUGCGAAAGCGUGGGGAGCAAACAGGAUUAGAUACCCGAGUAGUC